This 253-nucleotide ribosomal RNA is filed under the name uncultured bacterium. Its description in RNAcentral is "partial 16S ribosomal RNA". It matches the Rfam family "Bacterial small subunit ribosomal RNA", at positions 524 to 776 of the family's 1533-position model. The record is from RNAcentral.
UACGGGGGGGGCAAGCGUUGUUCGGAAUUACUGGGCGUAAAGGGCUCGUAGGCGGCCAACUAAGUCGGAUGUGAAAUCCCCAGGCUCAACCUGGGAACUGCAUCCGAUACUGGAUGGCUUGAAUUCGGGAGAGGGAUGCAGAAUUCCAGGUGUAGCGGUGAAAUGCGUAGAUAUCUGGAGGAAUACCGGUGGCGAAGGCGGCAUCCUGGACCGAUAUUGACGCUGAUGCGCGAAAGCCAGGGGAGCAAACGGG